This 16885-nucleotide long non-coding RNA is filed under the name Cucumis sativus (cucumber). RNAcentral describes it as "long non-coding RNA (CSAT_LNC001647)". The record is from RNAcentral. Lineage: Eukaryota; Viridiplantae; Streptophyta; Magnoliopsida; Cucurbitales; Cucurbitaceae.
UUUUUUUUUUUUUUUUCUUGAGAUGAUCUGAAUCAGAACAGAGCGAAAUGUCGAUUAAAAGAACUGAACAUGGAGAUUUUACUGCAGCAGGCCAAAACACACUAAAAACGGAAAUAGGAGAAGAAUGAAAACAAAAGAGGAGCUAGGAAACUACCGCAUAGCAAAACAAAGAACCAAAAAACAAGAGCCAACAUUAUUUUACUUAGUUCGUGAAUUUUGAAAAGAUUUAAGAUUCCUUGAAAGCCAAAUAAAACAGCCACAAAAGUUUCUAUGAAAAUGCUAUCAAUUGUAAUCAAACAAGGCCAACUACCAUUAAACUGUCACUCCCAGAGAUCCAGUAAGAAUUGACCCCAUUUGAAGACUACAAACCUCACCUAGAGAAGAGAAUUUGGCUGGAAUUAAAUGAGAAACAUUGAUGUUGCUACUGAAAGAAAAUCUAUUACAAUUGAUCCGCUGUUUUCACAUGGAAAUAGAUUCUUUAUUAUAAGCUUUUGCAAAUAAAUUCACUUAUAAUAAGUCUUGUUGCUCUGAUUCCUCGAUAAGUUCUUCCUCACUGCUUACUUUUACAAUUGAUUCAUCGUCUAAUCAAUAGAGGAUGGGGGGUUUCAGACACAUUGAAUGAACGGAACAUUUGACCCAGAGAGAGAUAAUUGAUUGCUUAAACGGCUUGACAAGAUCCCGAGAUUUGAUGCUGCUUUGAAAUGAUAUUAUAUAAGGCGUUAUCGAAUGUGAAGAGAAAACAAUAGAUGGGUAUAAGAAUCCUCUAAGGUUUAAAGUAUCAAAAUUUAACCUCUGGGUAUUCGAGAUGACAAGAAUUUCUUUCUUGUCAAAAUAAUGAAGUGGGAAAGCUUUUAGAAACCUUGGCUUCACCUCGUUAGUACUAAAAUUAAGGAGAUAAUGCACCAAGGGUGCCUUUGAACCAACAACUACUUCAUUCAACUUAUCUUCAUUCAGCAAAAUAAAUUCUCCAUCUUCCAUAUCCUCCCUCAAUCCACAGAAUUUGAAGUCCUUGAAUGAUGAAUCACCAUGAAGUGAAUUACUCGAACUUGGAGUGUCCACAUAAGCUAUAUCACCAAAUUGGAGAGAAAAAUUUCUAAUAUUACCAUCCUUGAUAACAAUUUCACCUAAAUGAAGCUACAUAUGGUUUUAUAACUUCUAUGAAAUUAAGGGUUUGGGAGUCAUUGCUGGCUAAACCACCUAAAUAUUUUCCAGGAUUCAGAAUUCAAAAGCAAGUUUCUAAUCUAAUUGAUAUCUGGCCUCCAUGGCUUUUAAUAAACUCUGGACGAGAGUGUUUCUUAUUAGACCAAAUUGACAAUUACUCAAUCUUCAAGUGAAUAUCUCUGGAAAGUUUCUACUUACCAUCAAAAUUGAAUUAUGAAAAAUCAUAAUCAAUCAUCACUAAUAUCUUUUUUCUUUUUUUGAAAAGGAGAUAACCCUCGAAACUUUAUUAAUAAAAUCAAGACUAAAGCUCAAAGAGAUCUUAUCAUCCAUAAAAUGAUUAAUAGAAACUUUGAACUGAAAAAAUUCUGAUUCUCAACAUCCUUCCAAGAGUAGUGGGCAAGCAACUCAUAAAUCACUAGAAUGGAGUUUCUUACCGAAAAUGAAAGGCCAAGGGAAUUGCGUUUCUGAAAAAUAACUUGAGUUAUGGUUGAUCACUUCCACAUAACUUGAAAUUUUCUUGUGAGUAACCAACCCUUCUUGAGAAUUUCUUGUUGCUACCUUCAACUCAUGAAAAAACUUUUGUACUUCGGUUGCAUCUUGCACGUUCAUGCCAACAGAAACUCUUGUUGCAUGAAAAAUAUAUCACUUACGAUUUUCCAGAAAACCAUCCAUCUCUUUUUCUUUUUAAGUUGAUGCCAACAGAAACUUGCACGUUCUUCCAUCCUCUUGAGAAGGCCAAGUAGAACAUUUAAAAUCCCAACCAUAAGAUGAUCUAAAUUUAGUUACAUAAUGCCCUAAAAAUCAUCUACAAAUUUCUUCAGAAAGAAUGAAUGAACUUUGCAGCAAUUCAACCAUCGCACCGCACGUUUGGAUAAACAGUGGAGAGGAACUGAAAGGGAACUUUCUGAUUACUUCCCAUUUCUUCCAUAAAAGAUAUUUUCACCCAAAAUAUUGAAGAAGAUACUUCAAAUGCAACAACUUUUCAAAUCCAUAAAGGUAGAAUUAAAUCUGAAACGAGCAGGGGAGCCAACCAAAUCUGAAAAAUAAUGGGCAAAAGUGAAGGACGGAAAGAGUCUGACAGUGGUGAUGGGGAAGGAAGAUGUAGAAGAGGAGCUGACAACAAGAAAGAAAGAUUGGGAAGGACAAACCAAACUCGGAAAUGGAUCCACUUGAAAGAGAUGAGAAAAGAAACAAAACCCACAGAGACGAGAUGGUGACAAAAAUCAAUGACUAGGCAGUUAUUAUGGCUAAUGGCGACGACCACGGAUAAGACAGAUGGUGGGGACAACAACAAUGACAUCAUCAGAGGUUGGCAAUUAGGAUUUGGGGGAGGGAGACGAGAGAGCGGGUGACUUGUUUGGGGCUGGUCUAUAACUAUUUUUGAAGUUUUCAUCAACAAUUUCUAAAUUCUUCUCCCUACAACACGUCCUUUGCAUUCUUCUAUGAUCUAUUUAUAUUGCUUUCUGUAUAUGCAGUAUAAUUCUUCGAAACGGUCUAAACAAAUAUCUGCAUAUAGCUAUCUUUCCUACCAGGGUGCAUUUGAAUUAAAUUUAUCAUCAAGAUCCUUUUUUCUUAACUGACAACAUUGAUUGCUUUGAAGGCAACAGCAGGUGGUGGAGGACGUGGCAUGAGGCUUGCUAAAGAGCCUGAUGAAUUCGUGAAGUUGUUGCAGGUACUUGUUAAUGCAAUUUGUUUAACUGUAAGGAUACCAUGUGUUUGUACUUUGUAUUUUUACUUUCUUCCAAAGAAAAAUAGUUCAUAUUCUUCAAAAAACAAAUUUAAAUAAAAAAAUAAAAAAGAAGAAAAGAAACACACAAAAACAUACUCUCUUAUACAUGUGACACAAUCAAGUGUUUCCCUGGUAACACCGAGUUUUUGGGGAUCAUCCUGCUAAAAGGAUGUAACAGCAGGUGAUCACAAAAGUUAGAAUGUAACAACAGGUGACCACAAAAUGACCCAGACAAUUUCUCUAUAGGGUAUUUGUGCAGAACCUUUUAUAUACUAUUCCUCCUAUAUUUUGUUCACUUAUCACUAUUGGAUGUCUAUAUUAUAUGAAAAAGAUUAAUAUAUUUAUAAGUUUCUUCAUAUUCCUUGCAUUAUGAAUUGGAUAUUUCAUUAUGUUUCUUCCAAAUAUUGCAUAGCUAAAUUACAGUGUUGUAGUAGUAGGUGAAGCUUCUAAUUAUGUUUGAUAUUUUUACUUCAUUACAGCAAGCCAAGAGUGAGGCUGCAGCUGCAUUUGGGAAUGAUGGUGUUUAUCUUGAAAAGUAUGUCCAAAAUCCAAGGCAUAUUGAGUUUCAGGUAAUUAUUCCAAAAUCUCAGGAAAUUAUUUUUUAGUACAGACAAAAGUAUUUUAUCUUCCCACUUCACGGAAAUAUUAAGCAGUGAAGAAUGAUCAAACACAAGAAUCAACAUUAUUGAAGGAAAAUAAAUAAAAUGGAAACUAGCUACUUGAAAAUUUGAACCUAAUGGAAUGGAUUUUGGUAUUUCAAAUGACCGGAUCCCUUUAGCUUUCCUGCAUCUUUUGUAGUUUGUUAGGUUUUGUAAUCAUUUCCUUUUUUUGUCAGCUUUUCUUCUAUUCUUGUUUUGGCCUGAUACAUUUGAGAAAAGUACACUCAAUGAAUAAAAAAUAGAACAAAAAAUACAAUAAUAAAAGUUUCAAUUGACUGAAAUAAUGGUAAGGGUUCAGAGGAUAGUGAUGUUAAUCUCAAGCAUGUAAUUUUGUAUUUUACAACUGUUGGGAAUGAUUUUGAGAUUGAAUGGAUACAUAUCCUUCUCAAUCUGUUUAAUCGGGAGCUUUAUUCCACAUUUUUUUUUCCUUUUCUUCUCUAAACAUUUACACUGUAUAUAGCCACUUGAUUUAUCAAUCUGUCCACUUUUUGCUUACGUAGGUUCUUGCUGAUAAGUAUGGAAAUGUUGUUCAUUUUGGAGAGCGUGAUUGCAGCAUUCAGGUUUUCUUGGCAAUAUCUAUUUCACAUUUGCCUUCUCUUUAAGAUUGUUAGACUGUUGAGCUUAUUUCAGUAUUUGUGUGGACUUGUGCAAAUUCAAACAUUUUAUUGAUUCGUUCAUUCGUAAGAAACAAGAAAGUAAUUGGAAGCACACCAAAUAUGAGACAGGUCAUGAGAAAUCAAUUGAAAUGACAAGUGGAUCAGAAUUUUUUUUUCUCAUUGUUGACUAAGAAGAAAACGAUUGUAUUUGCUAAAAUGGUUUAUGAAUGGAACACCACAAGGCCAAAUCUGUCUUCCCAGAGGAGUUGUUGAAGGGUCUUUGAUUUCUUUAGGGGCUAAGUGCAUAUGUCUAACAUUUUUACCUUAUGUUUAAGUGCACUGUGUACUAUCAGUUUCUUAAGGUGUUUGAUCUAAUAAAUUAUUUAAGUCUGAAGUUUUUAAAGAAGCAGAAAAUCAGCCAGGUAUUAAUUGCUGCUGGAUUUUGUAUUUUAAAGAAGUCAACUACCACUUCAUUUUUUUUCUCAUUAUUUUCCGGUCUGUGUUUAGCUACUCAUCCAAAAUGCAUUGGUUGCUUUGGGAAUGGCAAUCUAGUUUGGACUCCACUUCAUCCAUGAUCUAAAGACUUGAUGCGAAUUUUGAAUUACUUUAUUUGAAGAAAGAAAUAUGUUUUAAUAACGUCAAAACUUGGAUAAAAAUGGAAAUCCCUAUCUGAAAGUGUGUAUGUAUGCAACUCUGACAUGCAUGAUGAUCUUGAAUUUACAGAUGUGAUCAUACGUUUUAUUUUUCUCUUUAGACAUCUUAUGCAUGAAAUAUUUCACUAAUGUAGAGACGGAACCAAAAGCUUCUAGAGGAGGCACCAUCUCCUGCCUUAACACCUGAGUUAAGGAAAGCUAUGGGCGAUGCAGCAGUUGCAGCUGCUGCCUCUAUAGGUUACAUUGGGGUUGGGACAGUUGAGUUCCUGUUGGAUGAAAGAGGCUCCUUCUACUUCAUGGAAAUGAACACUCGGAUCCAGGUCAAAUUUAUUUUUUAUUUUAUAGACUGGUAUAUCUGUUAGCAGAAUGAGAUUUCAUGCUUUCUUUUUAUGGGUUAUUGGUCACAACAGGUCGAGCAUCCCGUGACAGAAAUGGUAUUUUCUGUUGACUUGAUUGAAGAGCAAAUUCGUGUAGCCAUGGGAGAAAAACUUCGGUACAAACAGGUGAAAAGGAAUGUUGUAACUUGUAAGUGAAAGUUUGUUUGAAAAUGGUCUGUCAACCUUUGCUUUAUGGUUGUUUAUAGGAAGAUAUUGUACUUAGAGGACACUCGAUCGAAUGCCGCAUCAAUGCAGAAGAUGCCUUUAAAGGGUUCCGACCUGGACCAGGUAUGAUGAUGGUGCAAUGAUCUACUCCAAGCUAUGCAAGCACUCCUAGCUCUUGUCUUUGAUUGUCAAUUAAUUGAUAAUCUGGCUUUCUAAUUUUACUCCUGAAAAUGAAGAUUCAAAGAAGAAAUAUGUUUCCAUUCAUUGAGUUCUUAUUAUUAAUAAAGGAGUUUGUCUCCAUUUCAAAAAAAAUAUGUUUCUAUUUUAACGGUAAUUAACUCUAGUAAGCAUGUUUCUUCUCAACUGACAGGAAGAAUUACAGCUUACUUACCGUCAGGAGGACCAUUUGUUAGGAUGGAUAGCCAUGUUUAUACUAAUUAUGUAGUGCCUCCAAACUAUGAUUCUCUUCUUGGAAAGGUAUGUUAGAUUAUUCCUUUAAUUUAUAAUUUGAAAAGUUUGCUAAGUAAUAUAUUAAUGUGUUGGUCUUAAUAUUUUAUAGCUUAUUGUUUGGGCUCCAACAAGAGAAAAGGCAAUUGAGCGUAUGAAAAGGGCUCUUGAUGAUACUAUUAUUACAGGUAAUGGAGCAAGUUUGUUAAUAAUCUUGUUUAAUUUAAUUUAUAUUUUUUUGGGUGUAUAUUAAGGGAUACAUUUUUGUGAAUAGACAUUAAUUUCUUGUGCUGAAUCUGUUGGAUUCCUUUCUUGUGCAGGGGUUCCUACAACCAUUGAAUACCACAAGCUAAUUCUUGAUGUAGAGGUAAAAAAGAACUUGGGAUUCUACUUCUGUAAAAUUAUCGAAAAUAUAGUUAGUUUCAAGUUCAAUGGCAUCCAUCUGAACAAAAGUGAUUUUAUGUAAUGGAAGCAUUCAAUCAGACCUGCUAGAAAACUAGAGAUGGUGUUUUCAUGGGUCGGGCUUUACAAUAUUUGAGACCCAAUCCAAUUAUUUGGGUUGAGGAAUCCUAUAAUUCAAACCAAUACAUAAACAUUGGGUUGGCUGGUGGGUUUCAUCAAAUUUUGAUAAAAAUCUACAUCUCGUAGUGUGUCAUUUGGUCUAAUUGCACAGCAUUCAAAUCUGCCUCCAAAAAGUGUUGAAAAGGUUGACUAUCAAAAUUUGAACCCAAUCCAACCCAUAUCAUUUUUGUUUGGAUUAAAUUUAAUUUUGGGUAGGAGAAUUGGGCUUGGAUGCGGUAGGAACAAGGUAUUAUAGUCAAAUCCUUAAUCUAUUAUGAUUAAUGAUUAAGAAAGAUUAGUUUGUUUUAUUUAUUAGGAUUAAGAUUAAUUUCUUUUAUUAAUUAGGCAUAUGAUUAGGAUUGGUUUGCUUUUUAAUUAUAAAUACAGCACUUGUCUUCUUAGAUUUGCAACUUUUAAACAUUAAUAAAAUUUUCUGAUUUGGUAUACAUCACAUUAAGUUUAUAAAAUUCAGAUCAUAUAUUAUCUGUGAACCAACCAACCCAUCUACUCAAACCAUAUCAGUUGGGUUGAAUUGUUUGAGUUUCUCAAGUCGUCUCUAUCUCUGUGAACACUUCUAACAGUUGAUUGUGUUGCAGGAUUUCAAGAAUGGUAAGGUGGAUACUGCGUUUAUUCCUAAACAUGAAGAGGAAUUAGCUGCGGUAAGCCGUAAUUUCUUUAACAUGUGAUUCUUUUUCAAUCAAAAUAAUGAAUGAAUGCUUAACUUUUUGUGUGUGUGUGUGUGUGUGUGCAGCCUCAUAGCAUAGUGUUAGCCAGAGAUCUAUCAGUUGCUUAAAAAAGGAUUCUUAUUCUCAGCGCAGUUCAGAUCAGCUUUAUGUAUUCUUAGAAAGCUUUUUUUCUUCUUUUGGUGUUAGUAGCACGAAUUCCACCAUUUUUUUCGCUUCAAUUUUCCUCGUCCCUGCUGUAUGUGAGCUUUUUUUGUUUGUAUGUUUUCUUCCUUUUUUGGUACUAGAAAAGGGUACUUUGUUUUGAAACAUUAUUUAUAAAAUACAACCCAUACCCUCUCUAAUCUGUUUUGUUGAUUCUUAAACAGUAGAACGCCUCUAAUUUUAAAUGGUUAUAUAUAUUGUUUUUAAAUAUAUAUCUACCAAUACAACAAAUGGAAGUCUAUUGCAUUCUAUCCAAAUUUAUUGUAAAUAGGGUGAUAUUUUGUUAUAUUUAUAAUAUCGACAUCGUCUUAUUCUUUUUUUCAUUAUCAGAUAUGGUAUUAUUCUUCUUCUUUCUUCCUCUUUUUUAAGAGCACAUCGUACACCAAAAUUUAAACGUAAGUUAUCUAUUUUAGAUACAUAGAGAUAGAUAGUGAUAGUAGUCUAUCUAUGUCUAUCUACUCUAAAUAGACAAAUAUAAAUCAAUAUAUAUUUUGGAUAGAUUAGUGAUAGAUUUAAACGAUCGUUUGCAAAGACUUAAAUACCAAGAUCAUGUACGAAUAUCAUUUAGAUUUGGUACAAGAUCGUUUAGAUUUGAUAUAAGUAUCGAUUUGGCACAACUACCAAAAUUGUUUUACGAAUAUCUGAACGAUUAUGUACCAAGCUUUUCUGACGUGUAGCCGAUUAAUUUAGGAGUAUUUUAAAUGUUUUUGCGUUUUUGUUCUAUUUUUGAAAAAAAAUCCAAAAUAGAAACUAUACCCUCUUCACACAAGAAAUCAUUAAAAAAUGUUUUGUCCAUUUUAAAUCUAUUUUAAAAUCGAUUAUUUUAAAAGGGUCCAACAACCAUUUUACAUUAAUACCUAAAAUUUAAAUUGAUGUAGUUCUAGAUUUAUAUCAACUGCUGCAGAACUUAGAAAUAGUCCAUACUGGCGUACUUCAUUGUUGAUCUUUCCAAAAACUGAAAACAAGUCUAACAUUAUUAGUUUUGUACAAAAAUUUUAUAAUUUAGCUAAUUUUGAUUAAUUUUGAUGAAGUUCUGAUUUUGAACGCUCAACGGACACGUGUUCUCAUGUUAUUGAUUUUUGUAUUUUAAAAUGUCACGUUACAAUACACGGUCUUUAACUCGUAUAGCCUAAUUUACUAUAUGGAUAUUACAAAAAAAACACAAAUUGUUAAUAUUUUAUACAAAUGUACCAAAUGGGCCACAAUAUUACACAAAAAUAGGCCCAAAUUACCAAUAUCCCCAUAUGAUAUUUUUUAUUGUUUUAAAAUAUACAAAAGUAUUAAUUAUAAUGAGAAGAUCGUAGGUCAUUAAAAUAGGAAAGUGAUGGAAUAGUUUUCUUACUUUUCAUAUUAAAAAAAAAAUCAAAUCCCUUUCGACAUUGAAGAAAUUAUUCGACGAUUUCGUUUUCGACAGUGAAAAAGAAGGGUUUCAUCGAUUUCGACAGUGAAGAAGUUAUUCGACAGCCGACCAGUUUCUCUGUUUUUCGACGGCCGAAAAAUAAAACAGUAAAGGUAUGUAUAAGAAAAAUAUUUGAAAUAUAUGACAUACUAUUAUCUAUAUACCAUGAUAUUUUUUAAAUGAUUAAUUAGGAAAGAGAAAGAGAUAUUUUUGCUUACAAGCAAGCAGUGAGGAUGAGCAUAAGGAGAGGAAAUCAUUCAUAAAAAAUAUUUAGGUCACUAUUCACAACCAAAUUUGGAUCAGCCGAGCCAAAGAAGGAAAACUUAGCGAUCACUAGUCAAGAGUUUGAAGGUCCAAGUUUCAAAUUAUUAUCCCAAUGAUUUUAGUAAUUUUAAGUUGAAUACGAUAGAGUUAAUGUUCAAGGUUAUGUGAUGAAGAAAAACUUCAAUUUCUGAAUUCAUUUACUUGUAAUUUUCGUUAAGAUUAAUUGGUGCACUAUUAGUAUUAUGCAAUCACUGAAACAUUAUAAGCAUAUAUUCUUUAUAUGAUGCAGUAUAUUGUUCCUGACAUAUUGUUCGAAUUAAUAUAAAAUGUUCAAUAUGAAUCUUAAAAGUAUAUUUGGAACAAGUUGUAAUUCUUAUAAGGGAUAGUAUUUAAUCUAAUGUUAUAGCAAUUUGAUGAUAUUAUAUAAAUGUUAUUUGUAUGGAAAAGUGUAUGGUUAGAGAGAACAUAAUAAUUUGUUUUUGCUUAUCACACAGAAUUUAGAAAUUUCAAGUUGAAUAUGAUAUAGUUAAUGUUGAAGGUUAUGUAAUGAAGAAAAAAAAUCAAUUUUUGUAAUCAUUUACAUGUACUUUUCGUUAUGAUUAAUUGGUGCACUGUAUGUAUUAUGCAAUCACUAAGACGUUAAAGUCAUAUAUUAUUUAUAUGAUGUAGUAUAUUGUUAUAUGGUGUUCAUUGUUCAUGGAAUUAUUGUUUGAAUGAAGAUAAAAUGUUCAAUAUAAAUCUUAUAAGUAUAUUUGGAACAAGUUGUAAUUCUUAUAUGUGAUAGUAUGUUAUUUAUAUUUAAUGAAAUGUUAUAACAAUGUUAUUAAGCAAAGAUAUAUCUCAAAAUUGUUCAUAUCAAUAAACUAUCUGACUUGGAUCUAAUGGCAUUGGACAAUUCAUUAUAUGACAUAUGUUCACAAACUACUAUAACUAACGUAAUUGUUAGUUUCGCUGAAAAAACCAUCGAAAUAGACCGCACUACUGACCAUCCUGACACACAAAUAUUACAUAUAAUUAUAAGAGGUGGUAUAUAUAUAAUAAAUCACAUAUACAAAGUAUUAUAUAUUACGAUAAUAUUAUAAAAUUAGUAUAAUGGUAAAUAAUAUAUGAUAUAUAUAUUAUAAAACAUCAACUAAAAAGUAUUAUAUCUUAAUGAUCUAAUCAUGUAGUUUUGAUGUUUAACUAUUUAAUUUUAAACGGGUAAAAGAACAUAUGACUUGCUGUUGAAAUUAUCUUAACUUCAGGUGAUGAAAAAUUGUAAAUACGAGCGACUUGUAAAAGAAGAUGCAGCUUACAGUUAUUACAAAAUUGGAUACAAAUUUGGCUGUCGAAAAAUUGUGAAAACAGAGUAAUGAGAAAUUAGAAAUUUAUGAUUGAAUUUUUUAAAGGUUUAAGUGAUGGACAAUAAUGAUUGCCGACGAUGGAGAAUAAUAUGUAAAAGGAUAGUAUUGGAAAGAAAAUAUCAUACGACUAUUAUAAAUUAAAAUAAAAUUAUCCAUAUUAUAAUAUAUUUUGAUUUAUAGUUAAUUGAGAAGAUACUUAAAAUUUAUUACCAUAUUCAUUAAUCACGUUAAAACAAGGAAGUUAUGAAAUUCAUAUUAAAUUCAAAUAAUUUUCAAUAAGAAAAUAUUUUAAAUAAUAUUAUGAAUAAAAUAUCUAAUUAAUAAACCUAAUAUCUAAUUAAUAAUUAUUGAAAGAUUAGAAUUGUCUAUAAAAUAUUAGUUUUACUAUUUAAGAAAAUAAAUUUUAAAUUAGAAUUUUUGUGAAAUUUCUUAUUCAAUCAAUCAAUGUCUCUGUCUAAAUCUUUUUAAAUAAUAUUAAGUUGUAUGUAAUUGUUGGACGAGUAAGCGUGUGUCAUGUAGCAAGAAGCAUAGGCAUCUUACUAGCGAUUCCGACUUCAUGCAGGCGAGUUGCAGCCUACAAUCCGAACUGAGGAUGAGAUUUUGGAGUUAGCUCACCUUCGCGGGAUCACAACUCUUUGUCCCGGCCAUUAUAACACGUGUGUCGCCCAGGGCAUAAGGGGCAUGAUGACUUGACAUCAUCCUCACCUUCCUCUGGCUUAUCACCGACAAUUUACUCAUGGUUCCAACCUCAAUGGUUGGAAACUAAACAUGAAGGUUGCGCUCGUUGUAGGUCUUAACUCGACACCUUACGGCACGAGCUGACGACAGCCAUGCACCACUUGUUUCCCCAUUCUUGAAGGCACCCCUCUUUCAAGAGGAUUCGCUAUUAAGUUGUAUGUAAUUGUGGGACGAGUAAGCGUGUGUCGUGUGGCAAGGAGCGAGUAGGCACAGGAGGCACACAUUGGUUUAAGGGGCAAAAUAGUAACUUAGCACCAUGUUGAUGCGAUGAGAAGGCCAUAUUUCAUUAACAUACAAAAGUUGGACCAAAUUUUGUUUCGGCCCUCAAGAGAUCGAUCAUCCUAACAGAAAAAAAAGAAAAAGAAAAAGAAAAAGCCAAGAUAGGAACCUCUUGUAGAAUUCUGACAAUUUACCAUCUUGGCUUCUUCCAUUAUCUCGAUAUGGCGUGGGGUUUAGGAGAGUAGUGUCCUCAAACACCCACAACUGGGAACGACGGAACCGGUUCCAUUGACAAGCAUGGCUUCUCUCCCAACUGCCGCUGUUAUUGCCAAUGUUGCAAAAACUGCCACCAAUGCUCGCUUUUUCUUCUUCUUCUCUUCUUCUCUUUCCCAUAACUUCGACCAUUAUCUCCCCUCCUUCGCUCCACCUCGAACCUUUUCUCGUUUCACUCCACCCCUUCGUACGGAUAAUGUCGCCGGAAGAAUCUCCAGAAAUGGUACACAGUUUCCGUUCUCAUUUUGCACUACUGCGUCCACUGAGCCGGUCACCAGUGACGCCUCCAUUGCAUUGUCGUCCACAUCAUUGGAUAAGGACGACGAUGAUCCGGAAAAGAAUAUUAAGGAUGCGGCUGACAUGCUCGAUAUUAGGGUUGGGCGAAUCAUUAAGGCUUGGAGACAUCUGGAGGCUGACACUCUUUAUGUUGAAGAAGUUGAUGUUGGUGAACCCGAGCCGAGGCUUAUUUGCAGUGGCCUUGUUAAAUAUAUCCCUCUCGAUCAACUUCUGGUACUUCAUUUUUCCUUCUUAUGAUCAAUACAUUUAACUUCUGGUUCAUUUAUAUAAGAAAAAUAUUUGACUGGACAUGCUUAAAACUUGAACUCUACCCAUUUUUUAUUUUACUGUUUUUCUUUUCAUGGCUUAUAGAUCGAUUCCUUUACCAAUUGGAGUCUUUUCCUUUUCCUCCUAUCUUGUCCCUGGUGUUUUUGCUGUAUAAAGUGGAAACCUCAGGAACCAACUCAGAUUGCAGUUUUAGAGACUAUUAAAGGUAGAGGAACAAUGUAGGACUACUUGGUCUUGUGAAUCUUUUAUUAAAAUGAUAUUGUGUUUCAUACAAGAGUGGAAGACUUUCCUAUUUAUAGAAACAAGUCGGGUGAAAAGAAAAUUAACCUAGAAUGCUACCCAAUUAACCUUCAUUCUUCUUAUAAUCAAGAAUUGAGAGAAAGUAUAUUUCUUAUUCAUCUAGAGUCAGAGUAAAGUUACACACAUAUAUAUAUAACAAAUAAACCCUAAUUGUAUGUACAAUUAUGAUAAAGGACAUAUAUUAUAAAUAUAUAUCAUAACACUCUCCAUCAAGCUGAAGCAAAUAUGUCGAUCAUGCCCAAUUUAUUUUCGUUGAGACAAAUAAAUACCUUUCUUGCUUCUAUCACUUAAAUGCUCAAAAAAUAUUUCAAUUGGUCGAAAUCUUUCGUAUUAAACUGAUUCUGAAGGAAAUUUUUGAGAGACGAAAUACCCGAUGCAUCAUUUCCAGUAAUAACAAUAUAUCAACAUAUACAACUUGUAAAAUUAUAACAUUUUCAGAUUGGCGAUAGAAAGCAGAAUGAUCAGAUUUACUCUUCUGCAUACCAAAGCAUACAAGAGCUUGACUAAACUUACCAAACCACGCACAUGGACUCUAUUUCAAACCAUACAAAGAUUUUCGAAGGCGACAUACUUUCUCACUCUCCUCCUGAGCAACAAACCCAAAUGGUUGUUCCAUAUAAACUUCCUCUUGAAGACCUCCAUGUAGAAAAACAUUCUUAAUGUCAAGUUGAUGCAAAGGUCAUUUAUGGCUAGCAACCAUGAAAAGAAAUAGGCAAAUGGAAGUUAAUUUGGCAAUUGGAGAAAAUGUAUUUGAAUAAUCAGUUCCAUAGAUUGAGCAUAACCUUUAGCAACAAAGCGAGCUUUCAAUUGAGCCACUGUUCCAUCAUAAUUCACCUUGACAACAAACACUCAUUUACAACCAAUGACCUUCUUUCCUGCAGGAUGAGAUACCAAAUCCCAAGUACCAUUAUAUGGAGUCAAUAGACGUAAUAAAAGCAUAUAUGAUGGGAGACGACCGGUGAUAGGAAACAAAGGAAGAAACAGGGUAAGUACAGUUGCGUUUACCUUUUCGAAGAGCAAUGGGAAGAUCAUCACUUGGCCUCGGAUCACUUGAUGAAGGAGGCAUUGAUGGAGGACAUGAAUCUAAAGGUUGUGGUGGAGGUUGUCGGUGUCGAAAUAAUGGUCAGUUGAAGAUGACCUAAACUUAAGCCUAAUGGAGAACGAAGCCACCAACUACGAUAUUCCAAAUUCCAAACCCUAACGGCUUUGAUACCAUGUAAUCAAGAAUUUAGAGAAAAAUAUAUUUCUUAUUCAUGUAGAGUCAGAAUAAAGUUACAUAUAUAUGUAUAGAGAGAGAACAAAUAAACCCUAGACUGUAUGUACAAGUACGAUACAGGACAUAUAUUUUAAGUAUAUAUCAUAACACUUCUUACAUUAGAUUUCCAAGAUUAGGUCUCAUAGAUGAAGGAACUAUCCUAUAGGUGAAUUGUUUAGUGUGUGAAUGGAAGAAGCCUCAGGGUGGAACUAAAAUUAAGAUAAAGUUUUUUUUGUUUUUUGCUUUCUAGAAUAUUUAUUCCAAGAUCUUGGCUGUGGGGAUGGCUGCGUGAGCACAAUAUCUUGUAGUUCAGCACAAUCAUUUCACACUAAUAACUAAUAAGUAUGGUCUGGUUUAGGUGAUUGGCAGCUUAGAAAUAUAAAAAAUGGAACUUUCAAGUUUUGGGCCUCACAUUACCAAUGCUUAUGUUUGUGUGCUAUGCAUGUCGUUACCUCUUUGACUGUUAUUUUGUAUUUGGGACUUAGUACUAGUUGGAUCUAGUUAAUGUUUAGGUUCUAUUAGACCUCCAAUCACAAAGGUAUGUUCGAAGAAGGGUAAAAUAGGAAACUCGGUCCCAAGUGUAGAUAACUACCCAGCUUUGCAUACUGUUAAAUAAAGUUGUAUAGUUAUUUAAAAGCAGAUAAGGAUGGGUAAUUAUUUUAGGGAGUUGUAAAUGCAUUUCUCUGGAUAUUUAAGUUUGUACUAUGGAUAGCUCUUGUAUCAUGUGGGAUGGGGAUGUCUGUUUCCUUGUUCAAGUCAAGUGUAAAUGUCGGGAGAGAAGGUUGACCUCACCUGUUGAAUUGGUCACUAAUUGAUAGAUUGUAAUCAUUAAACAUAUUAUCUAACAGUAAAUAAAGAGAUACUUAUGAUAUGACCUAUCAUAUUCAUAUCAAAGUAACAACUUUGGUAUGGGAGAAGAAAAGAACAUUAUCUUAGAAGGUUUGAAGUGGUAGAAAAAGAGAUGAAUGCAACAAUUGGAGAAUUAGAGUGCUUACUCGGGAUGGAGUGUGCCAUUGGCAAGUUGAAGGAUGAAGUCACAAAUUUUAGUGGCUUUUUGAGAGACCACUACUCCAAAGAACAUUAGUCAUUUAGUCGGCGUCUAUGCUUCAUAGACCUUUUGUAACCUAUAUUCUUUAACCGUUACUUUGCAUAGCUGAAGUCCUUUUUGUAGAGGGGGUUCCUUCUUUAUGGGCCUGGUUUUCUGUAUGUCAUUGUAUUUUUUCACUUUUUCCUGAUGAAAGAUGUUUCCAUCCAAGAAAAAAAACUUAGUUUAAUAUCUCGUGGAAAUUUGUGAUCAAGAUCAAAUGGAUUAUAGACUAAAUGGGUCUUUCACCGAUGAUAUUGUAAACUGUUUAUCGUGUUUUUAUUGUAUGAACGGUUUAAACUUUUUACUCUACUGCAACAUCCUUUACCUGUCUGAUUCGAACAUAACCAACAUAUAGGAUAGAAGAGUUAUUGUCCUCGCAAAUUUGAAGCCAAGAAAUAUGCGAGGCAUCAAAUCUUGUGGAAUGCUAAUGGCUGCUUCUGAUUCUUUGCACGAGAACGUUGAACUUCUUUUGCCUCCUGAGGGUUCGAUUCCAGGUGAAAGAAUAUGGUUUGGAUCUGAAGAUGAAAAAGGCAACCAACCUGAUGCUGCUGCCCCAAACCAGGUAAAGAAAAUUCUUUUGAAAAAUUUGAAUCCUGCAAGACAUGAAUGUCAUUUUAUAAUCUUACAUAUUUCAGUGCAAAUUAUAACAUAAACUUGCGUUGACAUCUACGCAUCCAUUACCUAAAUUAUUUUGAUAUCUGAAUAUCAAACUGUUACAUGUGGAUGAUUUCCAUCUCUAUAUGACAGUAGAACUUUUUUCCUUUUUUCUAAAAGAAAACAAAAAAGUUCAUGUGGUUGAUAUCAAAUGAGUUUUUUUUUGUUGCUGUGCUUUUACAUCUUCACAGUAUUCAUGUCUGUCGUUUUACAGCCUUUUGGGGGGUGUUUGGAUAUCCGUAAUGGGAUUGGAAUGCAUUGUAAUGUAAUCUAAAAUCCAUGUUUGGAUUGAGCGUUUUGAGUCCAAAUUGUAAUAUUAAACUCAUUUUGUUUAUGUAGUUUUCAAUUAAACUCUAUUAUCCAUUGUUUUCACAUUUUAUGAUUUCAUUUUUGUUUCACCCUCAAUUCGACACACAUUCCAAACACUCUUUUGAUUCCCAGUAAUUCUUACUACAUUCCAGCUCUCUAAACAUCUCCUACAAUCCUAUUGUUCCAGAAUUUCUACUUCUAUGUACUCCACUAAACAAUUUGUUUUGAACUACGAAAGAAGACUGUUAUGCUACAGAAACGGACUGAACUUGACAAAAGGGUUGAAUGCAGCCCCCACAUUAUCAACCAACUUACACAAAUAAUAAAAAUGUAACUGGCAAAUGAAAAGACAAAUAAUUACAACUGUAUUCAUUUUUCUAUUUGAAAGUCAAGUUUUUCUAUCCAAGAAGUAAUAACUAAAUACAAUUGUCCCCAAUUGUUCACAUUAACAAAGGGUUUAGGGUUUCUUCGUGUCAAUAAAGAAAAAAAUGCUCUCUCCUCUCUCCACCAAUCCCCGUUGUUUUAGCCUUCUAGCCUCCUCUAUGCUACUCUUUGACGACUUAGCCAACUAGCCUCUCACUAUUUCAAAGGUGCUUAUUGUGGCCUCAUGGAAGUCAAAUGUUACUUUUUUUGGGAAAAGGAAACUAUACCUUUUAUUGAUAAAAUGAAAAGAAGAGAGUAACGUUGAAAGUACAUAAAUCCUUAGAAAAGAAAAGGAAGAGAACACCAAGAGAACAUUUUUUUCUUUGAAAAGGAAACAAAUUUCAUAUGUUAAAUAAUGAGUCAGAGCUCAUAGUACAAGAGGGUUAUACAAUAUGUAAUUAAAGAACUAGGGAUUAGUAGACGCACCCGGACAUCUCAACUAGGUUGACACCCCUUUAACGUCCUCAUCAUAUCCAAAAACAAAAAUAAAGAUAAUGAAAUGACAUAAAGCUAAAAAAAAGUGGUCGAAAACAUAAAACCUUUACAUCAACAUCCUUUCAUGAACAAAAGACUAACUGACAAAUCUAAAACGGGAAAAGCAGGGCCCUUUCCUAACUCUCCUUUGCUGGACUCAAAAUGACUAAACAAUAAAGGCUUGCCAGUUGAGAUGAAGUCCUGUGUGGAAGAAUCCUGGAAUCCUUUGACCAUGGAGCACCAUGAUGAAGCAUUUAAACGGGCAUACUCAAACCGAUGGACCAUACUAAAGCCAUAUUGUGGAAAACGCAUUGAAUCCUUUCAAACCAAAUUUCUACUAAUAAAGCC